CCUACGGGUGGCAGCAGUGAGGAAUAUUGGUCAAUGGACGAGAGUCUGAACCAGCCAAGUAGCGUGAAGGAUGACUGCCCUAUGGGUUGUAAACUUCUUUUAUAUGGGAAUAAACUGUUCCACGUGUGGGAUUUUGUAUGUACCAUAUGAAUAAGGAUCGGCUAACUCCGUGCCAGCAGCCGCGGUAAUACGGAGGAUCCGAGCGUUAUCCGGAUUUAUUGGGUUUAAAGGGAGCGUAGGUUGAUUGUUAAGUCAGUUGUGAAAGUUUGCGGCUCAACCGUAAAAUUGCAGUUGAAACUGGCAGUCUUGAGUACAGUAGAGGUAGGCGGAAUUCGUGGUGUAGCGGUGAAAUGCUUAGAUAGCACGAAGAACUCCGAUUGCGAAGGCAGUUCACUGGACUGCAACUGACACUGAGGCUCGAAAGUGUGGGUAUCAAACAGGAUUAGAUACCCGAGUAGUC
Molecule: ribosomal RNA, 460 nt
Filed under: uncultured bacterium
Lineage: Bacteria
Description: partial 16S ribosomal RNA
Rfam family: Bacterial small subunit ribosomal RNA
Source: RNAcentral